Bombus terrestris (buff-tailed bumblebee) is the source of this 1519-nucleotide long non-coding RNA. RefSeq lists it as uncharacterized. NCBI's taxonomy places the organism in Eukaryota, Metazoa, Arthropoda, Insecta, Hymenoptera, Apidae. The transcript is spliced from 2 exons. The record is from RefSeq and is a predicted model, not a curated record.
UAUAUAUAUAUAUAUAAAGAUUUACGCAAGUAUGUAUAUGUAUAGCUACUUUGCUUAGUUACGGAAAUUCAUGGAAGUACUUGACUCAUUCAUAACACGAAAUUAUUCAAACAUGAACAUUUUCCAAAUCAUGAUUGGGAAAACAAUAACAUUCAAUAUAAAAAUAUUGUAAUAUUUAUAAUAUAUUAUGUUAACAAAAAUGUCAUAUAGUUGUAUAACUUUUGCGUACGAUGUACGCAACAGUUUUUCUAUAAGCUUGGAAUUGGAAAUGAAAAAACGAAGUCGCUGUUGAACAGAUUGUGCCAAUAAAGCAGUUGGUUUUUUCCAAUUUUCUCGAAUAAAUAAUAUAACUGCGUAGUAAUUUCGCUUCAUCGAAACAGACAUCGGAUCACAUUAUAAUCACGUGGUCGAUAGAUAGCGUAUGACUAUGUAUUAAUUUGUCUACGUGUAUAUGUACAGAUUUCGUGUAUUCGCGUGUAUGUGAUCAAAUACAGAUCUAUAUAUGUGUGUAUUCGCAUACUGCCUUCAUGUGACGUCAGCUGAUUCAUCAAAACAGCGUUUGCCUUUUCUACAUUAUAUCAGUUCCAUCGCGAUAAGAAUUCCACACAAAAAGAAAGCUCGGUACUUGGAAAUACCGGUUCAAGGUCAUUUGAAAAAAAAAUAUGUUAUAUGUGUGGUGCGUGCGCGCGCGCGCGUGUGUACACACACACGAGCAAACAAAAGGUGAGAUCAAUCCUUGACUUUGUGUCCAUUUGGUCCUUUUCUUUCUUGGAAAUCCUACUAAUUAUGUUAGCGUUCCAUAAAAUACAAUAGUUAUUUAUCAUAAUGUUCAAAUCAAGCGGAGCUGACGUAAGGCUUCAAUAGCUGAAUAACUGGAAAUGGGUAUAAUUUUCAGAAGCAUAAUGUUGUCUGGCCAAUCAUAUCAGAGAUGAAUUUCCCUAUGACUAAUCUCAUCCUCUUUUGUUUUAUGCGUUAGUAUUCACCAUUUUGAAAAUUUGUUAAAUUCAUGGAAUGUACAAUUUGAGGAUCUACGCAAACUUUGAAUAAUUACAAUAACAAUAUGGAAACACAUUUAUCGGAUGUAUAAAAUGCGAUCGGAUGUAAUACGAGAAUCGGAAGUAACGUAAGAUGGUAUCGUUUAAUUGCUAGACAAGAAAAAUCAGUUUUUUGAUUUGUUUAUAAUAAGAAAGAAAACACGCAACUACGUCUUCUAAACUGUACAUGGAUAGCGAUCACGUGGUGAAUUAUCAAAGACUUGUAAGAGAGGUAAGGUGGAGGGGAGAGACCUGAACGUAUAUAAUCUUCAGCGCACAUUCCACCACCCAGUUCUGCUUCGACUUCGGACGUGAGAAUUGUGUCAAGCUUCCGAGCAGGGAAAGUUUUUGUUUGUUUGGUGCGCUCAUUGUAUGGAGCGAGAGAAGAUUAUAAAACACGGAGAGAGCCCUGUAGAGCCAAUAAGCAGCUGCAGGGAUGAGCAUGGCUUUGUGCCAACAGUGGGCCGUUGGGGAAGUGAAUGGCC